Molecule: ribosomal RNA, 467 nt
Filed under: uncultured bacterium
Lineage: Bacteria
Description: partial 16S ribosomal RNA
Rfam family: Bacterial small subunit ribosomal RNA
Source: RNAcentral
GACGAACGCUGGCGGCGUGCUUAACACAUGCAAGUCGAACGGAAAGGCCUCUUUCGGGGGGUACUCGAGUGGCGAACGUGUGAGUAACACGUGAGUAACCUGCCCUUGACUUUGGGAUAACUUCAGGAAACUGGGGCUAAUACCGGAUAGGAGCUCCUGCUGCAUGGUGGGGGUUGGAAAGUUUCGGCGGUUGGGGAUGGACUCGCGGCUUAUCAGCUUGUUGGUGGGGUAGUGGCUUACCAAGGCUUUGACGGAUAGCCGGCCUGAGAGGGUGACCGGCCACAUUGGGACUGAGAUACGGCCCAGACUCCUACGGGAGGCAGCAGUGGGGAAUAUUGCACAAUGGGUGGAAGCCUGAUGCAGCAACGCCGUGUGCGGGAUGACGGCCUUCGGGUUGUAAACCGCUUUCGCUCAUGACGAAGCUUUGUGUGACGGUAGUGGGUAAAGAAGCACCGGCUAACUACGUG